RNAcentral lists this ribosomal RNA (494 nucleotides) under uncultured bacterium. Its description in RNAcentral is "partial 16S ribosomal RNA". It matches the Rfam family "Bacterial small subunit ribosomal RNA", at positions 28 to 507 of the family's 1533-position model. The record is from RNAcentral.
GACGAACGCUGGCGGCGUGCUUAACACAUGCAAGUCGAACGGAAAGGCCUGCUUUCCCUUGUGGAUUGCGGGUACUCGAGUGGCGAACGGGUGAGUAACACGUGAGUGAUCUUCCCCCAACUUGGGUAUAAGCCUGGGAAACUGGGUCUAAUUCCCGAUAGGACUGCAGGGUGGUGCCUGUGGUGGAACACGAUUUUCUAGUGGUUGGGGAUGAGCUCGCGGCCUAUCAGCUUGUUGGUGGGGUAAUGGCCUACCAAGGCGGCGACGGGUAGCCGGCCUGAGAGGGUGGACGGCCACAUUGGGACUGAGAUACGGCCCAGACGCCUACGGGAGGCAGCAGUGGGGAAUAAUGCACAAUGGGCGGAAGCCUGAUGCAGCGACGCCGCGUGGGGGAUGACGGCCUUCGGGUUGUAAACUCCUUUCGACCGCGAGGAAGCCACCUGGUUGGAAGGGUGGUGACGGUAGUGGUAGAAGAAGCACCGGCUAACUACGUG